GGCUGGUCUGAGUGCAGUGGUAUUUACAAAUAAUUGAUCACAGCCAGUUACAGAUUCCUUUGUUCCUUCUUCCCUCCCACUGUUUCAUUUGACUAGCUGUAA
Molecule: Y RNA, 102 nt
Filed under: Microcebus murinus (gray mouse lemur)
Lineage: Eukaryota; Metazoa; Chordata; Mammalia; Primates; Cheirogaleidae
Description: Y RNA (ENSMICG00000046059.1)
Rfam family: Y RNA
About the family: Y RNAs are components of the Ro ribonucleoprotein particle (Ro RNP), in association with Ro60 and La proteins. The Y RNAs and Ro60 and La proteins are well conserved, but the function of the Ro RNP is not known.
Source: Rfam by way of RNAcentral